UCUCUCGUCGUUUAAUGGCAAGACGCCGGGCUUUGGACCCGGAUAGUCGAGGUUCGAGUCCUCGCGAGAGAGC
Molecule: transfer RNA, 73 nt
Filed under: Microbacterium testaceum
Lineage: Bacteria; Bacillati; Actinomycetota; Actinomycetes; Micrococcales; Microbacteriaceae
Description: tRNA-Gln
Rfam family: tRNA
About the family: Transfer RNA (tRNA) molecules are approximately 80 nucleotides in length.
Source: RNAcentral